This 518-nucleotide ribosomal RNA is filed under the name uncultured bacterium. RNAcentral describes it as "bacterial SSU rRNA". It matches the Rfam family "Bacterial small subunit ribosomal RNA", at positions 21 to 532 of the family's 1533-position model. The record is from RNAcentral.
GGCUCAGGAUGAACGCUGGCGGCGUGCUUAACACAUGCAAGUCGAACGGACUCGUAUUGAAACCUAGUGAUAUAUGAGUUAGUGGCGGACGGGUGAGUAACGCGUGGGUAACCUGCCUUACACAGGGGGAUAACACUUAGAAAUAGGUGCUAAAACCGCAUAAGCGCACAGCUUUGCAUGAAGCAGUGUGAAAAACUCCGGUGGUGUAAGAUGGACCCGCGUCUGAUUAGCUUGUUGGCGGGGUAACGGCUCACCAAGGCGACGAUCAGUAGCCGGCCUGAGAGGGCGGACGGCCACAUUGGGACUGAGACACGGCCCAGACUCCUACGGGAGGCAGCAGUGGGGAAUAUUGCACAAUGGGGGAAACCCUGAUGCAGCGACGCCGCGUGAGUGAAGAAGUAAUUCGUUACGUAAAGCUCUAUCAGCAGGGAAGAAAUACUGACCUUACGGUCAGCAGACGGUACCUGAGUAAGAAGCCCCGGCUAACUACGUGCCAGCAGCCGCGGUAAUACGUAGGG